This is a non-coding RNA of Arachis ipaensis, 583 nucleotides long. Lineage: Eukaryota; Viridiplantae; Streptophyta; Magnoliopsida; Fabales; Fabaceae. The record is from RefSeq and is a predicted model, not a curated record.
AUUUUUUAUUUUUAAUAUUGGAGUGGUAGUGGUGUUUUUUUAAAAUGUGGAUUGUUGGGGUGUUAUACUCAAAUGUGGGAUCGUUUAAUUAGAGAAGCAAAAAUCGGACCGUCCGAUUUAUUAGAGGUACAGAAAUCGGACCGUGCGAUUUCUAGAGGUACACAAAUCAGACUGUCCGAUUUGUAGAGGUAUAGAAAUCGGACCGUCCGAUUUGUGGGAGGUACACAAAUCGGACCGUCCGAUUUGUGAGAAGUACACAAAUCGGGCCCUCCGAUUUGUGUUAAAAAAUUUUGAAAAAACCCAUAGUACACAACUCGGACCAUGCGAGUUCUUUGGUCAUGAAAUUUUGCUUCACAAAUCGCAUGGUACUAUUUGCAGCUGAUGGAAUUUGAAAUCUGAAACAUGGAAUUCGAACCCUCUGGAUAAUUUUUUUUUACAUUCUGAGGCAUAACUCGCAGGGUCCGAGUUCUGGUCCGAGUUCUGCUUCCUCUGAUCCCACAACGAGGUGAAGCACCCCUUCUCCCCAUACGCGAGUUCAAUACUUUCUUUGGUUUCAUAUUCAAAUUAAAAACUCGUAGAUUGG